GGAGAAGGAGGAGGAGAAGGAGAAGAAGGAGGAGGAGAAGGAGGAGCAGGAAGAAGAAAUGGUCUGAGGUGUACAGAGGAGAGAUAAUUUGCCUCUCCUCAUUUGAAAGUGGUUGAGCAAGGACCAGAAGAAGGAAAGGAAAGAGGGAAGGGCCAGGGAUAAGAUAUAGUCCCAGGGCGGCCACCCAGGUGACCUGCUUCCUCCAGCUAUGCCCUCGCUGCCUUGUUUACACCUCCCCAUUCAGCUAGUCCAUUCAGCUAUCAAUGGAUUAAUCCACUGAUGAGGUCACAGCCUUUGUGAUCCAAUCACUUCCCCAAAGCUCCACUUCUGAACACUGCUGCACUGGGGAUCAAGCCUUCAGCACAUGAAACUCUGUGGGACAUUCACAUCCAUAACAAGGUUAAUGUGCACCUGAUUCCAUCUCUUCUUGCCUCCUUAGUAUUACAUAUAUCAUUUCCCGGUCAUUACAUCAAAUAUAACUCCUGUUCUCCAUCCAUGGCUCUUCCGUGUACUAAGCUUAGUCCCUGGGGUGGAAAAGACUUCCAUCUUGCCACCACAGUACUUCACACAAUCUCUGUGCAAUGUCCCUGGGUGUCCCUAGGGUCAGUCUCUCUACAGGUGAGUUUGUUGAGGAGCCCUCCUAAAGGGAAGACCUAGGAGAGUUGCAUAGAGUGCACUGACAAUUCCCUUCUUUCUGUGCAGCAGAAGAACCUUUGAUCUUCAAGCACAUUAUCAUGUUGUUGUAUUUUGUCCUUUUUACUUAGAUAGCCCUUUACUGUUCAUGAUGGCUUUUACUUAAAUGACUUCAUUUGAUCGUCUCUACUGUCCUCUGGGAUUUGCAGAAUGGAUCCUAGGAUCUCAUCAUAAAGGAAAACGGCCUGAGGUCUACAGAGGAGAGAUAAUUUGCUUCUCCUCAUUUGAAAGUGAUUGAGAAAGGACCAGAAUUACAAUUUAAUCCUCAUGUUCUAAGCCUCAGUAUCCUUGAGGCCAAGCAUCACAUCUAAAUAUUGUCACCUUCCCAGUGCUUUACAGAGGCACUUAAUGUAUGUUUGCUGACUUCACUUGAGAUAGAGUUUAAGACCAUAGACUUUGAAGUCAAAGGAAUCCUGGAGUCAGCACUUGGUUCGUGGAAUAGUUGGGGCCUAUUGAGGCAGUGGGUUGCUCGUUAAUAAGUGAACUGCUAACAUUUCCCCAUUAUGAGAAACAAAGAGAAUGAGGUGCUGAGCACAGUUCCCAGCACAGGGAAUUAAUGAAAUAUGCUAAGGAUUAUUAUUAACUUGACCCCUCUUUUCAGUUAUUAUUAUUUUUAUUUUGCAAAAAUUUAAAUGUAUUCAGAAAUAGACAGAAUAUCAUAGUGAACCACGACUCGCCAAACUGACAGCUUCAGAAAUUAUCAGCUCCUGCCAAUUUUAUUUCAUAUCUGUGCUCAUCUUCUUUCCAUCCUUAUAUCACUUUGAAGGAAAUUUCAAGCAUCAUAUCCUUUACCUGUAAAUUAUGCAGUAUGUACCUCUAAGACACAGAUGAAAAAAAUGAUAAAUACAGUACAACUAUCACCCCUUGCCACAAAAAUGAACAGUUGUAGCAAAUACACAGAAUAAUAUCUCCUCAAAGAUGGCCAUGUUUAUUACUAUCUUAAUUAUGUUUUUGACCUAACAAAGAAGAAUGAAAACGGCAGAUGUAAGCAAUUCAUUGAUCAGUUGGCCUUAGAUCAAGGCAAUGAUCCUGUAUUACUCGGGUGGACCCAGGAUAAUCACAAGGGUCCCUGCGGGGAAGAGGGAAACAGGGAACCAGAACCAUGCAGAUGGCAGGCUUGUGGGCUUUAAAGAUAAAACAGAAUAAAAUCAUGGCAUUUUCAGGUAAAUGAAUGGAGUUAGAGAAGAUAAUGCUAAGUGAAGUUAGCCAAUCCCAAAAAACAAAAUGCCAAAUGUUUUCUUUGAUAUGAGGAGGCUAAUUCAUAGUGGGAUAGGGAGGGGGAACAUGGGAGGAAUAGAUGAACUCUAGAUACGGCAGAG
This 2012-nucleotide long non-coding RNA is filed under the name Marmota monax (woodchuck). The record is from RNAcentral. Lineage: Eukaryota; Metazoa; Chordata; Mammalia; Rodentia; Sciuridae.